GUUAACACAUUUGUAUUUGUUUGAUUAAUUCUUGUGUCUUUCAGCCUGUUUCUGCAUAUCACCAUGAGUGAUUCCUUGAUACUCAGAUUUAUCAUCAAGAUCUCAAUUAUAAGCUCAAGUCUUGAUGACAACUUGAUGAUCUGCAGGAAGCACCACCAUGUAUAGAAGGCCAAGAGCACUCUGGAAUCAGUCAAGGCUCAUAGGAACUCCAAUCUUCCCAACUGUGAGAGGGCCUUGCUCCGGUGACUGUUGGUAAAAUGGAGUGAGGCAUACCAGGAUAUGCCUGGUUUUACUCUUGGGAAGGAGGUUGAACAGUGCAAUAUUUCUUCUAUAGGAUUGCAGUGACCAGACAUGCUACUGUAACUCUCAUGGUCAUGUGCUGGAAUUAGCAGAUAUUCAACAAUUUGGUCAUCUUGCUGACCUAUUGAUAUUAGAAGACCGCAACAGCUCUGCAAAGCAAGUUGGAAAACAGAAUCCAUGAAUCUGGCAGUGACCGGAAACCAGUUGGAAGACUUUGGUCUGUGACGUAGAGGAGUGGGCAGAGGUAGCAGAAGCAAAGACAACAAAAAACAGAAGUGAUAUGGAUGUCUUCGUCAUAUGGCAUGACUCUGCUGACCCAGCAACAAAGAGGAGGGUGUUCAACAU
Danio rerio (zebrafish) is the source of this 645-nucleotide non-coding RNA. The record is from RefSeq and is a predicted model, not a curated record. Lineage: Eukaryota; Metazoa; Chordata; Actinopteri; Cypriniformes; Danionidae.